AGGACGAACGCUGGCGGCGUGCUUAACACAUGCAAGUCGAACGGAAAGGCCCGCUUGCGGGUACUCGAGUGGCGAACGGGUGAGUAACACGUGGGCAACCUGCCCUCAGCUUCGGGAUAACAUUUGGAAACAGGUGCUAAUACCGGAUAAUAACCUUUCAUCGCAUGGUGUGGGGUUCAAAGUUUUUCGGCUGGGGAUGGGCCCGCGGCCUAUCAGCUUGUUGGUGGGGUAAUGGCCUACCAAGGCGACGACGGGUAGCCGGCCUGAGAGGGCGACCGGCCACACUGGGACUGAGACACGGCCCAGACUCCUACGGGAGGCAGCAGUGGGGAAUAUUGCGCAAUGGGCGGAAGCCUGACGCAGCGACGCCGCGUGAGGGAUGACGGCCUUCGGGUUGUAAACCGUCUUUCAGCUCUGACGAAGCGCAAGUGACGGUAGGAGCAGAAGAAGCACCGGCCAACGUACGUGCCAGCAGCCGC
Molecule: ribosomal RNA, 479 nt
Filed under: uncultured bacterium
Lineage: Bacteria
Description: SSU rRNA
Rfam family: Bacterial small subunit ribosomal RNA
Source: RNAcentral